RNAcentral lists this ribosomal RNA (422 nucleotides) under uncultured bacterium. RNAcentral's name for it is "bacterial SSU rRNA". It matches the Rfam family "Bacterial small subunit ribosomal RNA", at positions 355 to 774 of the family's 1533-position model. The record is from RNAcentral.
UAAGGAAUAUUGGUCAAUGGGGGCAACCCUGAACCAGCCAUGCCGCGUGCAGGAUGACUGCCCUAUGGGUUGUAAACUGCUUUUGUUAGGGAAUAAACCACAUUACGUGUAGUGUGCUGAAUGUACCGAAGGAAUAAGGAUCGGCUAACUCCGUGCCAGCAGCCGCGGUAAUACGGAGGAUCCAAGCGUUAUCCGGAUUUAUUGGGUUUAAAGGGUGCGUAGGCGGCUUAUUAAGUCGGGGGUGAAAGACGGUGGCUCAACCAUCGCAGUGCCCUUGAUACUGAUGAGCUUGAAUGGACUAGAGGUAGGCGGAAUGUGACAAGUAGCGGUGAAAUGCAUAGAUAUGUCUCAGAACACCGAUUGCGAAGGCAGCUGUCUAAGCCGUUAUUGACGCUGAUGCACGAAAGCGUGGGGAUCGAACA